This 467-nucleotide ribosomal RNA is filed under the name uncultured bacterium. RNAcentral's name for it is "partial 16S ribosomal RNA". It matches the Rfam family "Bacterial small subunit ribosomal RNA", at positions 28 to 507 of the family's 1533-position model. The record is from RNAcentral.
GACGAACGCUGGCGGCGUGCUUAACACAUGCAAGUCGAACGGAAAGGCCUCUUUCGGGGGGUACUCGAGUGGCGAACGGGUGAGUAACACGUGAGUAACCUGCCCUUGACUUUGGGAUAACUUCAGGAAACUGGGGCUAAUACCGGAUAGGAGCUCCUGCUGCAUGGUGGGGGUUGGAAAGUUUCGGCGGUUGGGGAUGGACUCGCGGCUUAUCAGCUUGUUGGUGGGGUAGUGGCUUACCAAGGCUUUGACGGGUAGCCGGCCUGAGAGGGUGACCGGCCACAUUGGGACUGAGAUACGGCCCAGACUCCUACGGGAGGAAGCAGUGGGGAAGACUGCACAAUGGGUGGAAGCCUGAUGCAGCAACGCCGGGUGCGGGAUGACGGCCUUCGGGUUGUAAACCGCUUUCGCUCAUGACGAAGCUUUGUGUGACGGUAGUGGGUAAAGAAGCACCGGCUAACUACGUG